UGGAAACAGAACUGGCCAUCCCCAAGUGGCUCCAGGACAGACACGGAGUAGUUAGGUCCGAGUUAUGAUUUAACUUUGGAGCUGGCGACCCAUCACCCUCACUAGCACGAUGGCUGCAGAGGUCCGGCAUUUCCUAACAGGGCAGUCUGAAGGGAAGCGGGGGCAGUCGGCUACGCGCACUGAGCGUCGGUUCCACCUUCUACAGGUUCCAGGAAAGCCGAGAGGAUCUGCAGUUCUGACCGUGCGCCUCUGGAAUCCAUGCGGUCUCCUGUUUCUUGCUGGAGAGCUCCUCCUCUCCUGAGGGAGCAUCUUGGCGUCCUCCUUGGUCUCCCACCCUGCCGAUUCGGAGGGUUUGCUGGAGGGCCGCUUGUGCUGAUGGGUCGUGGACACUCAGUCACCUCCACGGCUGGCACACGGAAGGCUCAGCCUUGGGAGGAGCAGGAGCACAGGGCUGGAGCCACCGCUCUCCCCACGCACCUCACAGCCGAGCUGGUGCCCACCAUGGACUUGACACAUGGGUCGUGUCCUAGGCAGCUUUCCAAUAAACGCCGGAGAAGCAUGGGUGUGCGUGUAUGCACACACGGCACACACGCGGGAAACCAUAGCUGCUCGCGCUUUGGGAUGCAGGCGCAUGAGCUUCGCAUCCAGGAGCGAGAGGGGAGUGGGGGCCCUCACUGAGGCCUUGGUGGCUCUGAGUGAAGAGAGACCAUGAGGAACACUCAGCCCCAGCGUGCACGCGUGCUGUCAGGCAGAGCCGGCGGCUCCUUCAGGCCAGCGCAGGAGCAUGGGGCCUGAGGCACGUGGCCCCCACCUGAGUGACCUCAGACAUGACUCCAGGAAGCAUCGGCUGCACCGCCUUCAGAUUUCCACCGGUUCUCAUCUUUGUGGGUGAGUAUGCCACACGGCUUCCCUCAUAGACAAGGGGUGGCUGGCAGAUACGGCAAAUGUCUCCAGUGUAAAAAGCCACGACAGCAAAGACACACGGCCAAGAAGGACAGGACAAAGGGCAGGACGCAUACGGAAGCGAGGGGCAGUGUCUGGAGUGUUUGGAGGGGAGCUAAUGAUCCUCUGUCUUUACUGUCACACAUUUUUACAUUUAAACGCUGUAUUUUAUGAUCAUCCCAGCUUGGUCCACUGCUUAUGGCAACUUCUGUCAAAUGAAAACAUCACACCUUGUCCUCAUCCACUUCGUCUCCUGGCUCUUCCUCAGAGUCAAAAUGACCACGAAGGGGAAGCGUGUGAGAUUGACGGGGACGUCAGGGCAGCCAGGGACCGCUGAUGACGUGUCCCCUAGGCUCAGCUUUAACGUCCUCAGGGGUGGCUGAGGUGUAGCUAGGACCGAGCUACUUGAUGGUUAUUGCUCAGCUGUGAAAGCACUAAACACUGUUCUUAAACCCUGGGAGAGACUUGCAUUAGGGUGCUAGAGCUGCCCCAACACCGCACCACAGGCUGCCUUGCGUAAGUAACUAAAAUGACUUCCUCAUAGCCCUGGUGGCUGAAGGGCCCACAUGGCCCUCACUCUGGGUUUGUAGAAAGCAAGCCUUUCCUCUGUGUCCUUUGGGCUUGUCCCUCUGGGUAUCCGUGUCCUCAUCCUUUCCUCUGUGUCCUGAUCUCUUUUAUUUUAUUUUUCCUCGGUACUGGGAACCGAACCCAGCAACUUUAUGCUGAGCGACACCCCAGCGCUUAUUAUUAUUUUCACAGCCUCUUUUUAAGUUACUGAGUUGCCCAGGGUUGGUGUGAACUUGCAGCUCUCCUGCCUCAGCCUCCUGAAUGCUGGUUGACAGAUGAGCUCUGAUCUCCCUUUCUUGGAAGGACACAGUCAGACUGCAUCAGGGCCCAACCCGUAGGACCUACUUUAGCUCAAUCACUUCUUACAGGCCUGUCUCCAAGGACAGUCUCAUUGGGAGUGAGACCUACGCAUGCGAGGAUUUGCUCCAUAACAGCACCCAUUAUAAACUAUCAACCCGGUGAAAUAAAAAGAUUUCUGUUCUUAAAAAGUAUGUUUAUGAACUUCUCUCUCCUUCUGUCACCUAGCCCAUUUCUUUUUGUGUAAAUAAAUCUCUGUAUCAAUAGGGAAGGAUAAAAAGAUUAAAAAGUGUUAAGAUAGUAUAUGCAUCAAGAGAAGUGAAAUACAGAUAAUAUUCACAGUGGUGCUCGGUUCACGAAUGCUUUUGUGAACAAUUUAGUUCAUAAGCAGAAGCAUUUGGCAACAUUGUGGGACUCUGCACUGGUGACGAACCUGACAGUGGCCACCUUUGCCGCACGAACACGAACGUGGCCGUCUUCUCCAGAACUGUAGGACGAACUAACUUCAUGAACUGAGGCAUCACUGUACCUUUUUUUAGUGUUUUUCUUUUUCCUUUUUUGUUGAGACAGGGUCUCCCUGUGUCCUUCAGGCGUGAACUCACACCAGCUCUUCUGCCUCAG
Long non-coding RNA from Chinchilla lanigera (long-tailed chinchilla), 2427 nucleotides. Ensembl lists it as uncharacterized. The record is from Ensembl. Lineage: Eukaryota; Metazoa; Chordata; Mammalia; Rodentia; Chinchillidae.